Non-coding RNA from Chrysemys picta bellii (western painted turtle), 1032 nucleotides. The record is from RefSeq and is a predicted model, not a curated record. NCBI's taxonomy places the organism in Eukaryota, Metazoa, Chordata, Testudines, Emydidae.
CCCGGUUCUGUCCCAUCCAGGCCCAGCUGGUGGUUCUGUGCCUUCCCAUACAGCUUCCUCAUCUUCGUGUACGACGAGAUCCGGAAACUCAUCCUGCGCCGGAACCCCGGAGGCUGGGUCGAGAAGGAAACCUACUACUGAGCCCCCCCCCGCCCCCCGCGCCGGAGACCACGAGGCUGGUGGGACGUCGGCUCGGAGGAAAGUGACUCGUCCCCCCACCGUGGCUGAGAACAUGAAACUGUCCCUGCCCCCCCCCGCCUGGGGGGGGGUUAGUUUAUUGUGUCACCAACAUCCCCCCACCGCUGGGACCGAACCCAGGAUCCCCAGAGCUAAGGGGGGGCUGGGAGCAGUUGGGGGGGCUCUUGUCCAGUGUGGGGGAGACAGUCACGGGAGAUACAGACCCCCCCUGGUCACACAGGUCUCCUGUCUUCUCCCCCCAGGGCAUGUGUGUGUCCCCACCCCGCACAUAGAUUCCCCAUCUUCCUCCCCCCCCCCACUCACCCCCUUCUCCAUUCCCAGUGGGGCAUGGGGGGCAGAAGCCAGCCCUCAGCCCCAGACUGGGGGGGGCAUACUGGGGGGGGGGUCAGCAGAGCACCAGGGAGGGGUUGUGGAACAGAAUCCAGGAGUCCUAAUCCCCCCCCGCAUGCCUUUACCAAGCCAAUAGCUUCCCCCUGACAGUCUUGGGUGCCCCCCCUUGCCCUCCUGCCCCCCCCCCCGACCCCAGGGCCCUGUCUGAGGGGUUGGGGGAUCCUGCGGCUGCCCUUUGACCCCAGAUUCCAGGUUAUGGACCAAGGGAAACCAGGGCCUCAUCCGUGUGUGUGUGGGGGGUCCCUAUGGCUGGGGGGAGGCAGAGGGGUCUGUCCCUCCCAUCCCCAGUGUCCAUGGGGAGGGGGGUGUUGUGCUCGCUCCCCCUCCCCCGUCCUGUGUGUGCUGGGGGGGAGCCUUACCCCCCCCCACCCCCGUUUGGGGAUCGUGUCGUCAUGUGACAAAAACAAACUCAAUUUAACAAAUAAAACCAAACCCACCCCCGGA